AUGAUCAAAUUGAAGCUGCCAUACUUUGGCCACAUUAUGAGAAAACAUGAUUCAUUAGAAAAGACAAUGGUGCUAGGAAAGGUUGAAGGUAGUAGAAAGGGAGGAAGACAGCACACCAGCUGGAUAGACUAAUUCAGGGAGGUCAUGGACCUGAAUUUACAGGACCUAACCAGAGCAGUGGAGGACAAGGGUGUCUUGGAGAUGUCUCAUCAACAGAGUUGCCAUGAGUCAGGGUUGGUUAGAUGGCAGUUAAUAACAACAGCAGCUCUUAACAACCAUACAGAUAAAUAAAGGAGAAGAGAUGCUUCUUAAAAUACAAAGGAUCCUGAGUCAUUUAGGGUUUUGAAAGUCAUCAGCACCUUGAACUUUCCUUGGCCAAAAAUGUAUAGGCAACUUGUUUAAUACCCUUAGAACCAGCAUCAUGGUUCUUAUAAGGUAUUCUUGCCAGCAAUUUAGCUGCAGCUUCUGACACUCGUAGGAUAUGUUCAGUCUUCAAGAAAAGCCUUACAUUGACCACUCUGCAGUAGUCUAAAUUUGGAAGUUACCAGCACAUAAAGUGCCAUAGUCACACUGUUUCUAUUCAAGAACAGUCAUGGCUCAAGCUGUAGAGUGGAAGUUGAAGCUGCCCAGAUGCUCUGAGCAUCAAGUUUUUGUUGAACCAAAAGUGAUAGAGGUGAAUCCAAGAAUGAUCCCAAGCAAUCUGCUCCUUUAGAAUUACAACCCCACCUAAAACUAGUCACUUACACAAUCCUUGGACAUGGAAACCACUAAAGCUCAGAGACUGCACCUUGUCAGAUACUGGCUUUAAUUUUUCCAUUGUAAUGGCACCACACCAAACCAGCACCAGUGCAUCUUAGCCUGAUUACAAGGAGAAAUAGAGCUGACUUUCAUCAGCAUACAGAUGGCAUCUAACUGAAACACCUAAUGAUUUAAAAUGGCAUGCAUGAAUAUUUCUAGUUGGAUAUUUAAGGUACAUUCUUACACAUGCUUCUUGGACAGUUGGCACCAUGGAACAGUAUUGGAACUGUGUCAAGAGUGACUUUGUGCUUUCUGAAAUUCCCACAAAGCAAAUUCACACACAAGAUCUUAAAAUAUGCUCAGUUUAGCCAUUUCACUUUAUUUAUUCUCAUACUGGACUAUAUCCAGUUUUUUUAGUGAAUUUCCACUUGCACAACAGCACUUCCCUCAUCUGUUCCUGAGAGCUCCUCCCUCCAGGAAGUAUGGGGUGGGACUUCAUAGAAGGAAGAGCGAACACUGGCUGAUGGAAAUUUUCUGUCAAUAUUGAUUGGAUUUUACUCUUUAACGUUUUCUUUUGUAUCACUAGAAAAAUUAACUUGCGGCCAUUCUUUCUGUUGGACCUCCUCAUGAUAUAUAUCCAUAUGGAUAGAUGCAGCAAGUGAAAAAGCUGUGGAAGUAAUGACCCCUUCUUGUCUCUUUCUAUUUCAUGGGAACUAGCAUAGAUACCUUGUCUGUUACUAUGAUAAGUCUAGUUUUUCCAGAGCAAGCCUUCCCACAUGUUAGGCAAAAAUCUGUUGUCUCAGAUGAGAAUCCUCACUGAUCAUGGAUACCCAAUGUGACUCCCCAAUCACUUGUUGUAAAUGCUUACUGUGUGUGUAUGUGCUUUCAGGUCCCCUGGUGACUAAUGAUGACACUAUGAAUUUCAUAGGGUUUUCUUAACCAAGGAAUACUUUGGUGAUUUUGCCAGUUCCUUCCUCUGAAAUAUAGCCUACAGAAGCUGGUAUUCAUUGGCAGUCUCUCAUCCAAGUACUAACCACAACUUGGCCCUGCUUAGCUUCCAGGAUAAGAUGGGAUCUGGUACCUACUACCCAUAGUUAAAUAAAUUAUAUAUAGAAGCAGUAUUGUAAUAGUAAAAUCAGCUGCUUCUUCCCAACUUGCAUCUGAAGAUCUUUUCCUGAAAAGGGGCAUUUUCAAACUUGUGAUAUUUCACGUGUCACUGUGUAAAAGCCCUGAGAAGAUUAAAAUAAGUUUAAAAUUGCAUAAAAUCAAUGGCGUUCCUAGGGUUGGUGUCACCCCACCCCUCCUUAUUGACCUUCUACUCCCAUUUCACACCAUAUAGAAUCCUUACUUUAAAAAAAAAUUGCACUAAUGAUGCUUGUAAAUCAUAAUUCCCAUAUACCAUUGGAUGUAAUGCUAAUAGUUCUGACGUAAACAACUAACAAAAUUAAAAAUUAUAUCUUCUCAUUACAAUAUGAUGUGCAUAACCUAAAUAUAUUUACAUAUACAUAGUGAAGAUUUAGUUAAAAUGUAAUGUUUUUGAAAAAAAAUUAAAAGAAUAUUUUUUUAAAAAAAAUAUAAUUGUUAAAAAAAUAAAAUUAAAAUGUUGAAAUUUUAAUUUAAAAAAAUUCUGGGGGCCUUCCUUUCUUCUCCCACUGAGGGUUCACCUCAUUCUCACCAUCUCUUAAAUCAUUUUAAAUAGAUACAGGCAAAUACAGUACCACAAUGUUUCUGCCAAAAUACAGGUGUUCAAGCAGAAGUGGUAUCACCUGGUGCAGUCUGCACCAGGUGACACCACUUCUGCUCGAAUGCCACUGCAUAAAAUCUAAUCAUUGGAUAAAAUCUACUCUCAUACAGCCAGGGUGAAGAUCUUUACCUCUGCACCAUACUAUUUCCCUUUGGUGUCCACUGACUAUCAUUGUCCGUCCAGCACUUUGAAAUGUAAUUUGAAUUACCUGAGAGAGAAACAAAUUAACUUUCUCUACUUGAAGACUUCCUAUGGUUGAGACACUGCAGUGUUCUCCACUCUACCCAACAAGAAGGAGAAUCUUUAAUUGAAAAAGGAACAAACACAGUUUACAAGAUAAAUGAAAAGGAAAGUACAACUAGAAUCUUAUUCUAUAAAUGUUUAAAAACAUUAAAUAAACAAUUCUGUCUGGCAUACAAAAUUUAAA
Molecule: long non-coding RNA, 2909 nt
Organism: Sceloporus undulatus (fence lizard)
Lineage: Eukaryota; Metazoa; Chordata; Lepidosauria; Squamata; Phrynosomatidae
Exons: 2
Source: RefSeq, a predicted model, not a curated record